RNAcentral lists this ribosomal RNA (3019 nucleotides) under Salmonella enterica subsp. enterica serovar Weltevreden. RNAcentral's name for it is "bacterial LSU rRNA". It matches the Rfam family "Bacterial large subunit ribosomal RNA". Lineage: Bacteria; Pseudomonadati; Pseudomonadota; Gammaproteobacteria; Enterobacterales; Enterobacteriaceae. The record is from RNAcentral.
UUAAGCGACUAAGCGUACACGGUGGAUGCCCUGGCAGUCAGAGGCGAUGAAGGGCGUGCUAAUCUGCGAUAAGCGCCGGUAAGGUGAUAUGAACCGUUAUAACCGGCGAUACCCGAAUGGGGAAACCCAGUGUGACUCGUCACACUAUCAUUAACUGAAUCCAUAGGUUAAUGAGGCGAACCGGGGGAACUGAAACAUCUAAGUACCCCGAGGAAAAGAAAUCAACCGAGAUUCCCCCAGUAGCGGCGAGCGAACGGGGAGGAGCCCAGAGCCUGAAUCAGCAUGUGUGUUAGUGGAAGCGUCUGGAAAGGCGCGCGAUACAGGGUGACAGCCCCGUACACAAAAGCGCAUGUGCUGUGAGCUCGAUGAGUAGGGCGGGACACGUGGUAUCCUGUCUGAAUAUGGGGGGACCAUCCUCCAAGGCUAAAUACUCCUGACUGACCGAUAGUGAACCAGUACCGUGAGGGAAAGGCGAAAAGAACCCCGGCGAGGGGAGUGAAAAAGAACCUGAAACCGUGUACGUACAAGCAGUGGGAGCCCCACCACCAAAGCGUUUCGCUUUGUGUGGUGCACAAAGAAGCGUAACGACAGCACUGAAUGACGGUUAACGGAGCGCAAGCGACGUUCAACAUACAAAGUCAAGCAGUGGAGCGCUUUGGGGUGGGGUGACUGCGUACCUUUUGUAUAAUGGGUCAGCGACUUAUAUUCUGUAGCAAGGUUAACCGAAUAGGGGAGCCGGAGGGAAACCGAGUCUUAACCGGGCGUUAAGUUGCAGGGUAUAGACCCGAAACCCGGUGAUCUAGCCAUGGGCAGGUUGAAGGUUGGGUAACACUAACUGGAGGACCGAACCGACUAAUGUUGAAAAAUUAGCGGAUGACCUGUGGCUGGGGGUGAAAGGCCAAUCAAACCGGGAGAUAGCUGGUUCUCCCCGAAAGCUAUUUAGGUAGCGCCUCGUGAAUUCAUCUCCGGGGGUAGAGCACUGUUUCGGCUAGGGGGCCAUCCCGGCUUACCAACCCGAUGCAAACUGCGAAUACCGGAGAAUGUUAUCACGGGAGACACACGGCGGGUGCUAACGUCCGUCGUGAAGAGGGAAACAACCCAGACCGCCAGCUAAGGUCCCAAAGUCAUGGUUAAGUGGGAAACGAUGUGGGAAGGCCCAGACAGCCAGGAUGUUGGCUUAGAAGCAGCCAUCAUUUAAAGAAAGCGUAAUAGCUCACUGGUCGAGUCGGCCUGCGCGGAAGAUGUAACGGGGCUAAACCAUGCACCGAAGCUGCGGCAGCGACGCUUAUGCGUUGUUGGGUAGGGGAGCGUUCUGUAAGCCUGUGAAGGUGGCCUGUGAGGGUUGCUGGAGGUAUCAGAAGUGCGAAUGCUGACAUAAGUAACGAUAAAGCGGGUGAAAAGCCCGCUCGCCGGAAGACCAAGGGUUCCUGUCCAACGUUAAUCGGGGCAGGGUGAGUCGACCCCUAAGGCGAGGCCGAAAGGCGUAGUCGAUGGGAAACGGGUUAAUAUUCCCGUACUUGGUGUUACUGCGAAGGGGGGACGGAGAAGGCUAUGUUGGCCGGGCGACGGUUGUCCCGGUUUAAGCGUGUAGGUGUGUGUUCCAGGUAAAUCCGGUUCACUUUAACACUGAGGCGUGAUGACGAGGCACUACGGUGCUGAAGCAACAAAUGCCCUGCUUCCAGGAAAAGCCUCUAAGCAUCAGGUAACAUCAAAUCGUACCCCAAACCGACACAGGUGGUCAGGUAGAGAAUACCAAGGCGCUUGAGAGAACUCGGGUGAAGGAACUAGGCAAAAUGGUGCCGUAACUUCGGGAGAAGGCACGCUGACACGUAGGUGAAGUGAUUUACUCAUGGAGCUGAAGUCAGUCGAAGAUACCAGCUGGCUGCAACUGUUUAUUAAAAACACAGCACUGUGCAAACACGAAAGUGGACGUAUACGGUGUGACGCCUGCCCGGUGCCGGAAGGUUAAUUGAUGGGGUCAGCGCAAGCGAAGCUCCUGAUCGAAGCCCCGGUAAACGGCGGCCGUAACUAUAACGGUCCUAAGGUAGCGAAAUUCCUUGUCGGGUAAGUUCCGACCUGCACGAAUGGCGUAAUGAUGGCCAGGCUGUCUCCACCCGAGACUCAGUGAAAUUGAACUCGCUGUGAAGAUGCAGUGUACCCGCGGCAAGACGGAAAGACCCCGUGAACCUUUACUAUAGCUUGACACUGAACAUUGAGCCUUGAUGUGUAGGAUAGGUGGGAGGCUUUGAAGUGUGGACGCCAGUCUGCAUGGAGCCGACCUUGAAAUACCACCCUUUAAUGUUUGAUGUUCUAACGUGGACCCGUGAUCCGGGUUGCGGACAGUGUCUGGUGGGUAGUUUGACUGGGGCGGUCUCCUCCUAAAGAGUAACGGAGGAGCACGAAGGUUGGCUAAUCCUGGUCGGACAUCAGGAGGUUAGUGCAAUGGCAUAAGCCAGCUUGACUGCGAGCGUGACGGCGCGAGCAGGUGCGAAAGCAGGUCAUAGUGAUCCGGUGGUUCUGAAUGGAAGGGCCAUCGCUCAACGGAUAAAAGGUACUCCGGGGAUAACAGGCUGAUACCGCCCAAGAGUUCAUAUCGACGGCGGUGUUUGGCACCUCGAUGUCGGCUCAUCACAUCCUGGGGCUGAAGUAGGUCCCAAGGGUAUGGCUGUUCGCCAUUUAAAGUGGUACGCGAGCUGGGUUUAGAACGUCGUGAGACAGUUCGGUCCCUAUCUGCCGUGGGCGCUGGAGAACUGAGGGGGGCUGCUCCUAGUACGAGAGGACCGGAGUGGACGCAUCACUGGUGUUCGGGUUGUCAUGCCAAUGGCACUGCCCGGUAGCUAAAUGCGGAAGAGAUAAGUGCUGAAAGCAUCUAAGCACGAAACUUGCCCCGAGAUGAGUUCUCCCUGAGACUUUAGGUCUCCUGAAGGAACGUUGAAGACGACGACGUUGAUAGGCCGGGUGUGUAAGCGCAGCGAUGCGUUGAGCUAACCGGUACUAAUGAACCGUGAGGCUUAACCUU